Long non-coding RNA from Miniopterus natalensis, 1963 nucleotides. RefSeq lists it as uncharacterized. The record is from RefSeq and is a predicted model, not a curated record. NCBI's taxonomy places the organism in Eukaryota, Metazoa, Chordata, Mammalia, Chiroptera, Miniopteridae.
CAGAGAAUAUGAGCCGCGUAGAAUAAAGAGGGGAAGUGACCCAGGCACACCUGUCUGCUUAUGUUGACCCUCCACUUAAUUGCUUCUGGAGCCUUACAGUCUAGACAAUAGAAAAGCGUGGUCCAAUAGCAGGACAGAUGUCGAGGACUGAAUCAAUUAGAAUCCUCUCCAAAGGGCAUAUACAGUACUAUAAGCCCAGCCUCACACUGUGUCGGGGACAAAACUCUAAACAAGGUUAAGUAGCCUAAUUGCUUGGCCAGAACUUAACUUUUAAGAAGAUUAGCAGAAAUAUAAAUCCUUAAUGUGAAAAAAAAGAAGUCACUGUGUUAUCCAACUUGCACACCUCCAGUAUUCUGUUCCUUGCCUUUUUCCUGUGUUCCCUGCCAGCCUGUUUAUUUCCUUAGCAAGGACCUCCAAUCCCAUCCCAAUGUCCCGUUUUUCUCUUCACAUCACUUCUCUAGGUCUGUAUUUACCUCUUGGGCUCUGAAGGGUCUCCAUGGUGUUAAGGGGGCCUCUUAUAACAAGAAUACUUGCACAGCCCAAUUAGGCAAUAACUGCACCUUCAAAGUUUGUUUUUCAAUGAAAUUUCUCUCAUUGGCCUGGUUAUUUACAAUAUGUAUUUUUAAGUCCUCUUAUGACUGUACUUUAGAAAGGAGAGCAAGCGAAAAUGGAUGGCCUAAUAAGUUUUAUUAAACAGGUUUAAUAAAAAGUCAUAGUACAAAACUUUUUUACUAACUUUUAAAAGAUUUUACUUUUUUACUACAAGUCUUUCCCAGACCAACCAGCAUCACAGAAUCAAUGGAAAUGACUUAAAGAUAGAGAAAAAUAGCUGUGGACCAUAUAUAAAUACAGCUCUGUUUUCUACUGGAACCUUUUGAAGGCCUACUUGAUUUCUCAAGUUGUGGUCUUGUGGACUUUACAAAGGCGUAAUGCUAUUGGACUUGUUCAAAAAGCCAGAAACAUGUAUCUGCAGUGCCAACGGGUUGGAGAGGGAUACAGGAUUACACAGCUGUCUUCUUAGAUAAAUCUGACCUACCGAGCCUUCUCUGGAGAUGAAAACCAAGCAAGUCUAUAAAUGUGAGUUACAUCUUAACACAUUCUGCAUAAAACUGAUAGUGAACUGUCAAGCCCAAAUCACUAUCUCGAAUCCAGAGAAGAUUCAGUUACAAGUGGUUGAUUAAAUGAGAUAAUAAUGUAUGGACUGCCACAUAGGGAUGUGCAUGGAGUUCCCAAAAAGUAGGGACCAAAAUCCAGCUCUGUGAUUCACUACGCCAGGCCCUGACUUGAAGAUGCCUGGAGUGAGAAGAUCCUUCUACUGAUCCCACACUGACCAAUGGCCAAGUCACAUGCCUGUGACACUGUGUCCUCCCAGAGUGGGAAUAAUAUUUUUCUAACCAAAAUAUUAUUUCUUAUGUCAAAAGAGAAGGGAGAGCAGCACUCACUUUACAUGCACGUCUUAUGUGAGAACACGGCAGGAUUCGUCUUACUGUCCUUAACUCGAGUUAGAAACUGUGAUUGAGAGUUACCCGGUAAGUUGUUAAUUCCACUGCACCAUACUGUCUCUAAAGAUGAAAAAGCAAGAACUCACUUGGAAACUUCCAUUUUUUUCAUGUUUUAAUUCUACUUAUUUUAGGUUGCUCAUAGGAAGGUUCGAAGUCUACAGGAGCCCAAGCUAUAGUCAUUAAAAAUAAGUUACUAUUGUUACACAGAGCUGCAAAACAUACCUCACCUCUGCUUGCUCCCAGGUGAUAAAUCACGGUCAAUAGGAAAUCAGUAAAGUCUGUCAUUUUUCUCUCAAGUCUUCACAUUGUUGGACACCUAGAUCUUGACCCUCUACUGACUAUAGUACAUACUAGGUUAUAGUCUAUUUGGGAAAGUUAUUUGUGUAAACCUCUAAGAUAGUGGCCACAUUAACUCACUUAUUUGUACUUAUCAUUAAAAUGUUCUACUUGGGAAUUCAAAA